GGGGUAGUACCGGUUUCGACGGGGAUUCUGAAUCCGGAUAAGCCAUCCAUGUGCCGGGCCAUGCAAAAAACCGGAACCUAAAAAUAAACGCUGAAGACAACUUCGCACUCGCGGCUUAAUUGCCGCGGAGCCGCUCAUCCGUUCCUGUACGGGUGAAUCCGGCUCUCGACUUUACGGGGAACGCUUCCGCUUAAGCUUUGCGGCGGAAGGGGAUUCAUGAAGCUACCGAAAGACCCCGGCCUGCUUACCGGCCUGGGGUUGAGGGAAUAAAAGUAGAUAAGCUAUGAUGGUAGAAAGUUCGGUGGAUGGAUUUUCGGACGCGGGUUCGACUCCCGCCUGCUCCAUUU
This 347-nucleotide transfer-messenger RNA is filed under the name Lachnospiraceae. Its description in RNAcentral is "UBA1267 sp017959345 Standard tmRNA". It matches the Rfam family "transfer-messenger RNA". Rfam says of the family: Bacterial tmRNA, also known as 10Sa RNA or SsrA, is named for its dual tRNA and mRNA-like properties. Its role is to liberate the mRNA from a stalled ribosome. To accomplish this part of the tmRNA is used as a reading frame that ends in a translation stop signal. Lineage: Bacteria; Bacillati; Bacillota; Clostridia; Lachnospirales. The record is from RNAcentral. RNAcentral also lists the same sequence under 1 other name.